CAAACUAGAGAGAAAAGAAGGGGUUUUGCUAGGGCAAACUAUCUCAUAUAUUUCAUAAGCUAAAAAAAUAGAAGGCUCCUUAUAGUGGGGAUUAAAUACCCUGCAGCUAUGCCCUUCUAGGGGACUUGAAGCAAAAACAACAUGGACUCUCUUGGACAAGCUAAAAAUCGGACAAGGCCUAAACAAGAUGGGCCGACUCUACUAGGACAAGCUAAAGCAAAGGCUAAACAAAGGCCUUGAAUUAUUGGACUCAAAAGAAGCAAGAUGGGCCGACUCUACUAGGACAAGCUAAAGCAAAGGCUAAACAAAGGCCUUGAAUUAUUGGACUCAAAAGAAGUAAAUAAAGACUUAGACAAUUUGCCCAUGAGUUCUGAAAUUGAAAUUAAAAAGAAAACCAACACAAACCAGAAACAAUAAACCGGUUAGAAAUCAUAAUUGUAAUCUUACGUGCUUACCUUAAAUGGAUUGGGGCGGAUUACACAAAACUGGCUGAGUUUGGGGAAGCAUCUGAACCGAGAUCACAUGUAGAGAUGGUUAGGCCGGUCCUGUUCUGUCCAAGUGAUCUGAAUUGGAUCGGACCGGCUUGAUCUUGAACCUCCAUGGAACCGGCUGGAUCUUGAACCUUCAGUUGGAUCAUCUCUUCAAUCAGUAAUUCUUCAUCUUGAUCAAGGAUUUCCUGGACAGCUUUAGAAAAUCCAAGUUUUAUGGCCUUAGCUCCACUCUGGGUAGUCGGACCACUAGUAACUACAGGAACCUCUACUUGGAUGGCCGCAUCAACACAUGACGUCUGUGGCUCUCCAUCAGUACACAUAUCAUCACGCUGGUCCUAGGACUCAGCACGCUGGCCCUUCCUGUGGACUGUUUGGGUGAUUUUGGCCCACGUGGGUGUCUGCCAGCACACACAGGACGUCUGUGGCUGUCCGUCAGCACACACAGGACGUCCGUGGCUGUCUGUGUGUGUCCGUGUGUGUCCGUGUGUGUCCGUCAGCACACACAUGACGUCCGUGGCUGUCCAUCAGUACACAUAUCAGCACCCUGGUCCCUGGACUCAGCACGCUGGCCCUUCCCGUGGCCUGUUCAGGUGAUUUUGGCGGACGUGGCGAGAGCGGACCGCCUCGUGUCGGCAGGGGGACGGACUGGGAACGGCUCUUUCGGGAUCUUUCCCCGGGCGUCGAACAGCCAACUCAGAACUGGUACGGACAAGGGGAAUCCGACCGUUUAAUUAAAACUAAGCAUUGCGAUGGUCCUUGCGGAUGCUAACAUAAUGUGAUUUCUGCCUAGUGCUCUGAAUGUCAAAGUGAAGAAAUUCAACCAAGCGCGGGUAAAUGGCGGGAGUAACUAUGACUCUCUUAAUGUAGCCAAAUGCCUCGUCAUCUAAUUUGUGACGUGCAUGAAUGGAUUAACGAGAUUCCCACUGUCCCUGUCUACUAUCCAGCGAAACCACAGCCAAGGGAACGUGCUUGUCAGAAUCAGCGGGGAAAGAAGACCCUGUUGAGCUUGACUCUAGUCCGACUUUGUGAAAUGACUUGAGAGGUGUAGAAUAAGUGGGAGCUCCGGCGCAAGUGAAAUACCACUACUUUUAACGUUAUUUUACUUACUCCGUGAAUCGGAGGGGGGGGGGGUAACAAGCCCUUCUUUUAGACCCAAGACUCGCUUCGGUGGGUCAAUCCGAGCGGAGGACAUUGUCAGGUGGGGAGUUUGGCUGGAGCGGCACAUCUGUUAAAGAUAAUGCAGGUGUCCUAAGAUGCACUCAUUGAGAACAUAAAUCUCAUGUGGAACAAAAGGGUAAAAGCUCUUUCGAUUCAGAUUUUCAGUAUGAAUACGUACCGUAAAAGCGUGGCCUAUCGAUCCUUUAGACCUUCGGAAUUUGAAGCUAGAGGUGUUAGACGUCAUGUGUGUACUGAACAGACAGCCCACGUUGGCCAAAAUCACCCAAACAGUCCAUGGGAAGGGCCAGCGUGCUGAGUCCAAAGACCAAUGUGCUGAUAUGUGUACUGAUGGACAGCCACGGACAUCCUGUGUGUGCUGA
RNAcentral lists this ribosomal RNA (2029 nucleotides) under Brassica rapa (field mustard). RNAcentral describes it as "eukaryotic LSU rRNA". The stretch from base 1116 to 2029 matches the Rfam family "Eukaryotic large subunit ribosomal RNA", at positions 1891 to 2861 of the family's 3401-position model. The record is from RNAcentral. Lineage: Eukaryota; Viridiplantae; Streptophyta; Magnoliopsida; Brassicales; Brassicaceae.